Molecule: unclassified non-coding RNA, 140 nt
Filed under: soil metagenome
Description: partial internal transcribed spacer 1
Source: RNAcentral
CCUAGAGUUGUAGGCUUUGCCUGCUAUCUCUUACCCAUGUCUUUUGAGUACCUUACGUUUCCUCGGUGGGUUCGCCCACCGAUUGGACAAAUUCAAACCCUUUGCAGUUGAAAUCAGCGUCUGAAAAAACUUAAUAGUUA